Molecule: unclassified non-coding RNA, 489 nt
Filed under: Hevea brasiliensis (rubber tree)
Lineage: Eukaryota; Viridiplantae; Streptophyta; Magnoliopsida; Malpighiales; Euphorbiaceae
Source: RNAcentral
GGCAAAGAAUGCUUUGGAGAACUACGCGUACAAUAUGAGGAACACAAUAAAGGAUGAGAAGAUUGCAUCCAAACUGUCCGCUGAUGACAGGACUAAGAUUGAAGAUGCUAUUGAGCAAGCCAUCCAGUGGCUUGAUGGUAACCAGCUCGCUGAGGCUGAAGAGUUUGAGGACAAGAUGAAGGAGCUAGAGAGUCUUUGCAACCCUAUCAUUGCAAAAAUGUACCAAGGAGCAGGUGGUGACAUGGAUGACGAAGGUCCUGCUCCUAGUGGUGGUGGUGCUGGUCCUAAGAUUGAGGAGGUGGACUAAGUUUGUGGUUCCUAUAUUGUUUUUUAUUAGAUACCUGUCAUUUUUGUCUCAGAGAACUCUAUGAAUAUCUUUUUCUUUCUUCAAUGAAAUACAAUGUUAUAUGUUGUAGUAAUCCGAAUUCCCAAGAUAUUGCUCUUUACCAUGGCUGCCUCAAGUUUCUCAAACUUAACCAAAAAUGUUGC